RNAcentral lists this ribosomal RNA (313 nucleotides) under uncultured bacterium. RNAcentral's name for it is "bacterial SSU rRNA". It matches the Rfam family "Bacterial small subunit ribosomal RNA", at positions 28 to 334 of the family's 1533-position model. The record is from RNAcentral.
GACGAACGCUGGCGGCGCGCCUAACACAUGCAAGUCGAACGAGGUUGAGAGGAGCUUGCUUUUCUUGACUUAGUGGCGAACGGGUGAGUAACGCGUGAGGAACCUGCCUGUUAGAGGGGAACAACAGUUAGAAAUGACUGCUAAUACCGCAUAUGCCAUAUUGAGGACAUCCUCAAAGUGGGAAAGGAGAAAUCCGCUAACAGAUGGGCUUGCGUCUGAUUAGCUAGUUGGUGUGGUAACGGCAUACCAAGGCAACGAUCAGUAGCCGGACUGAGAGGUUGAACGGCCACAUUGGGACUGAGAUACGGCCCAG